RNAcentral lists this non-coding RNA (159 nucleotides) under Pelagibacterium halotolerans. Its description in RNAcentral is "6S RNA". It matches the Rfam family "6S / SsrS RNA". From Rfam's summary of the family: E. coli 6S RNA was the first non coding RNA to be sequenced, but its function was unknown until recently. Lineage: Bacteria; Pseudomonadati; Pseudomonadota; Alphaproteobacteria; Hyphomicrobiales; Devosiaceae. RNAcentral also lists the same sequence under 3 other names. The record is from RNAcentral.
CGCGUGCUGCCCGGUUCGUGUAGGAUACUGCAUCCCCGGGGCCUUAUCGAUCCUAAAGGGAGCUGUCCCUGACCAGGCCCGUGGGCUUGGACAAACGGCGCCCACCUACUAACGUAGGUUCCCGGGAUCGACACAUCCCACGGCCAGGGCGGCACAAGA